UCGUUUGAAGUCCGAAAUAUCUUCCUAUUAAUGCACCGACGGCUUUCAAUCUUGGCAUGUUCCUAGCUAGCAUAACAUAAAGAAGGAGAAGCAAAAUCUACAGAAGUAUUAUUUGUAAUUUAUACAUAUUUUUACUGAAAUUACAUUGAUUCAAGUAUCCAUGUUAACAUCCAUGGCUUGAAUAAUACACAGAACGGAAACUACAGAAGGGUUCCACCCGAGACAUACUCGGUGUAGGCCAACGCAACCAAACCCAACAUGGCAAAUCUACCGUUCCACAUCUCAGCAUCAGAUGUCAUGACGCCAUCUGACUUGGAUUCCGCGCUGACCCCUUUGAACAGUGGGAUCAAAGACGCGACUGAGAGCAGAAUACUUGUUCCGACGAACCACGAGACUCCACCGUUAGAUAUCUGAGAAAAAAGGUCUUGGCCCUUGGACAGUUCCACUGCCAUUGCAGCGACAAAGCCUAUCAUGGCAAGCCUGCCAUUGAUCCUCUCUGGUGCGGGUCCGCUAAAUGCGAACAAAUCAAGGAAUUUUGGGCUGACCUGUUAAUCACAGUCAUACGGGCGUUUACAUUAGAAGUGGAAGCAUAAAUGCAAUCACAAAGUCCAUGCUCUAUGUAAAUUGUUAAAAUUAAACGUUUCCGAAAUAAACCAUGCCGUAUAAUUAAUCCUGUACCUUUGGCUUAGGAGUAGAACUUGGCUCUGCUAACUUCUUGAUCUGGUCAUCCUGCAAAUUGAUUCAAAUGUUAACACAAUCCUAAGAACAAUCAUCUAAAGUAUACACAAAGGAAGUCGAAAUAGAUUCCAAACUCACCAGCUUGGAGCACUGCACCCGUUUGCUAGCACUGCCACGUAGUCGUGGCACAAACGUCGCAGAAAACAAGUUGCUCACUCGAGACCGGUUUUUCACCAGACCACUAGGUACUGGUGUUGCAAGGACGGUCUGCAUGACUGUUGAUGUGGCCAUCACUUAGAACAAUGUUUAUCACUCGAGCUGUGAUUAAGAAACUUAAUCAAUAUCUAAUAUGUGAAAGCUAUUCUAAUGCUAGAGGGAACGUUCGUAAGGGAUAUCACUACCAGUGAGUUGAAGCUGGAGCUAUUUGCUUUGUAAUGAUAAUUAAUGUAUCUGACAAUCGUUUGGUAGGCUGUUAUAUAGCCGAUGGGGCGAGAGAGGAGAGGGCAUUUUGCUUCCACGUCAUCUACAUCUAAUUAAAAAGCUGAUUGGAUCACGUGGGUUCGGUUGUCCUCACAUGGUCAAGUGGGUUACGUGGCCUCCUCACAGUCACUAGUGGACCCCACCCCAUUUAAGAAUCUGAGGCCAAUGUUGUUCUAGGUUUUUCAGCGACCACGGCAUAGUAAUCGAACUGGACUCAGCCACGAUUUUACCGCAUUAAUUUGACACGUUCAAAAUAACACAGCUAAAUUAAAUCGUACUAAUGGAUACAAUUUUUGCAAUUUGUCGACAUGUUUUUUUCUUUAAUAUCCUUUUUUAACAUGUGAUUGAUGAUAGAUUGUGUACUUUCAAUGUUCCUCUCUUUUUUUUAUUCACUAAGCUAAUUUCAUUUCUUUCAUUUUUAUCUUUAUUUUUUUAAUAUAUUAAAAAACAUUUCUUUUUAUUUUUAUAUUAUCUUUUUUAAUAUAUUAAAAAACUUUUCUUUUUAUUUUUAUCUUAUCUUUUCUAAUAUAUUGACAAACUUUUCUUUUCUUAUCAUCAGUUGCUUAUUGAUUUCUUAUCAAAAUAUUUAAAAGCUUCUUUUUUAUAUCUUCUAGUAUUUACUGGUUGUAUUCAACAUCCUUUCAAAUACAAGCCAAAUAAUAUUUGAAAUGGUAAAUGUCUCAACUGAAAAUUUUCUUGACAAUACUUGCACUGAAUCUUUCUUGAAUUUUUAUAAAUAUCUAUAUUAUCUUUUCAUCUCAUGUCAAGUCUAUUACCACUAGUAGUUUUUUUAGAUAUCAUAUAUUUUGCAAUUAAAUAAUCAAUUCAAAUUAAUCCUAUAAUUAAAAUCCCAAACAUUUACUUGAUAUUGCAACUCACACACAUAUACUAGAGUCUAAGUGUCAUCACCUAAAUGAAACUUUGAUAAAUCUCUUGCCGAGCUCAGGCUAGGCAUAAUUUUAGAUUGGCCAUUAGGUCAAAUUACAUUAAAAUCGUUGAUAGAUUUGGGGUUAGUAAGUCAGUGGCUCGAUUUUAUACCAAGCAACUGUGUUGUAUUUUAUGCAAUAGUUUUUUGCUUUUAGGCGGAUUUGCUUUUCUACCGAGCUUGAAUUUGUAUUCAUAACUUGAUAGAUCGUUCAGAAUCAAAAUUCCCUCUUCAAAAUUAAAAAUUUAGCUAGAUAUAUAGUGUGUUUUUUUUUUUUGCAUGUUUAUUUUAAAAUUUUAGCCACUAUUUGGUUGUUAGGUUUUUGUUGAUUGUGAUAAAAGUUGGUUUUGAUUUAGAAAUAAUUUUAGCUUAUGUUGUCCAUGGAAGGAAAACAAUAAUGAAGCAUUAAAGUGAAUAAAACCUAAAUUUCCAAAAUGUUUGUGGUUUGUUCGGGGCUCCAAGAUUUGCAUUGUGAAUUUUAUGGAAUGGAAGUGCUUCAUAAUAAUUUGGCAAAAUGAAAAUGAACUGAUUAUAUUUUAUAAUCUACUGAUCAUAUCUUUCUUAUAAUGGCUAUUAAAGUAGUUAAGGAAUUUAUCACAGUAACUUUUAGUGACAUUUUUAUUCAUUUGAUACAUUAGGGAUUCUUUAGUUAUUAAUUAAAAUAUAAUGAUGAACUUAAUUGUAAAUACUUAUAUAUUUUUUGUUGAUUUUUUUUCAAUGCCAUACAAAAUAUCCUGAACUUAUGCGAAGUUAAUUUUCUAUAAUUUUUAUAAAAAUAAAGGCAUAAUAUAAAAUUGAAUAAACUUAUGGAUGAUCAGGUGAUUUUCCGUUUUUUAAAUCAAAUAACAUCAAAUUGAAAUUUUUAAUUAUUGUUUUAGUUUUUUAUAUUUUCAUAUUAAAAAACUUAAUAUUAUUUGAAAUGUCAUCAAUUAAUGAUUUUACCCAUAGUUAUUAAACCCGGAGCGGUGCAGCAGGUCAACGCGGGACCUGGUCGACCUGAUGGCUGGACCGGUCCGGAUAAGGUAAAAGACCAAACUAAGCAAAAACCCGGUAUACUCAUUUUUUUUCAUAUGUGUUUUUUCACCUAACCAAAGACCUCUUUUUUAAUAUACUUUUUUAGUUGGUUAUUAACCCUUUUCAAAGUUCACUAUAUUGUUACCCAAUGGGUUCUCACAAAAAAAUAAGAAAAUACAAAAAAAAAAUAUCAAAAACUCAGUGUUUUAAAACCCGGACCGGCCUGGCGGGUCGACCCGGGACCCGGGCGACCCGGGCCUGGGACCGGUCCGGGUGGAGGCAAAAACUCGGAUGGGAGUUGGCCCGGGGAAACCCGGUCGACCCGGGACCCGUCAAACCCGGGUGAGACCCGGUCAAUUUUUUUUUUAAUUGCUAGUCAUUAAACGACGUCGUUUUGGCCUUUUAAAAGGCCAAAACGCUGAAGACUAAAGAGUAAAGACUGAAGAAGAACGAAGCAAAGUUACAAUUUGCAAAUCUAAUUGAAACCCAGCUGAUCGCACUGAAGAAGAUCAUCGCAGAGGACGUCUUGACUGAGGAGCAGAGGACUUCCCACCGCUUCCUGCCGCUGCCUCUUCUCUUCCUUCGACCUCCGCGUCCCGGCCUAUUGUGUUGAAACCCAGCUGAUCGCACUGAAGAAGAUCAUCGCAGAGGACGUCUUGACAGAGGAGCAGAGGACUUCCCACCGCUUCCUGCCGCUGCCUCUUCUCUUCCUUCGACCUCCGCGUCCCGGCCUAUUGCACCUGCUGCCUCUUCCGGUUAGUAUUGCAACUACUCUUUCUUUCAUUCUUUUCUGUUGGACUUGGAAUUUGAAGCAUAAAAGAGUGUGUGUGAGUGCAAGGACUGUGAACUAACCCAUAUCUAGUCAAAGGCAUGUGCUUUUAUUUCAUGGACAUAAGGAUUGUUAAAUUGAAAACACAAUCUGGAUUUUGCUCGUUUGAUCAAAAACAAUUAAUUGCGUGGUUUUUAGCUCACAUGAUUUAGUAUAUUACUGUCAUAGUAGUAUUACAGAAUAAUAUAGAAUAAUUCAAUACAUGUUAUGUGGAGUUGUGGAUAAAAAUGCCGACUGCUAGUUUUACAGAAUAAUAUUGUUAGAGUAGUAUUAGUUCAAAUGAAUCUGUGGUGUUCUUUAAGCCGUUUCAAUGUCUUUUUCCAGUGAUAUAGGUGUUUUUUUUUUUGGGUUGACCCGGGUCAACCCAUAUGACCCGUGACCCGAUCACUGGACCGGAUCGGGUUUUAAAACUAUGCAAAAACUAUUCGCAAGAAAUCCCAAAAAUAAUAGGAGCGAGAAAAGGAAGCUGGAAUGUUGAAAAAAGGCCAAAAUUGGUUGAGGAGGUUUAAAAAUGUAAAAGUUUGAAAUUUGAUAGUAUAUUUUUAACUGGUGAGAGCCAUGUUGACAAGGAAAAUUUAAUUUUAGAAAGAAAAGUCCAAAAUAAGAUAUUUAUGGGCUCAAUUAAAUUUUAUCUAAGGUUUAAUUGAAUUUAUGAAGGGUUUGAUUGCAAGAAAAAUUAAUGUUUAAGUUAAUUUAGGCUUUUAUUUGAAUAAAUUAAAGUUCUGGGGUCCAAUUAUAAUUUUGAAAAGUUGAUUUGAUCAAAUCAGGAGCUUAAUUGCAUAAUUAUUGAAGUUUGAUGGCCAAUUAGGGAUUUAAUUGAAACAAUUCAAAACCAAGGACAAAACCGCAAAAUGCGCUAAAAUCAAGGGAUCCAAUUAAAAUAUUUACGGGGGGCUUGAUUACAAAAUUGCAAACAAUUCAAUGACCAAAUCAAAAGUAUCUAUUUGAAUUUUGAAACGGCGCCGUUUCUUGGACACUAUUCAUUGUCUCUUCCAAUCAGCCGUUUUCAGCAGUAAUGGCUGAGGCGUUUAUUGCAGCAUGGCGUCCGUUAUGGAGCAUGCUUUAAGGCUGUGAUCCCUCUACAUGCAGAGGACAAGCCGACCAUUACCAGCACAAGGCUCUCUCUGACCUAUAAAAGCAGGAGAAGAAGACUGAACAGGGGGAGGAGGAGGAGCAGGGGCAGAAAAAAAACAGGGAAGAAAGUGGAAACCACAGAGAGAAAGAAAAGAAAAAAAAAAAGGGAAAGCGUGAACAUAAGAAGAGAGGAGAACAGGGAAAGGAAAGAAAAUCUGAGAGAGAAAGAGAGGGAGGGGAGUGAACGAAGCACAAGAGAAUGCAGGAGGAAGAAGAAGAAAAUACAGAAAACAAAACCAAAGCAGCAUCCUUCGUGUACCACGGCCCGUCCUCCUUUUCGCCGCCACCAGAGGCACCGCUAGCAUCAACAACACCUCUACGAAGCCACUGCAGAGGCAGAAACACCGUUGACAGGAGGGGAAAAAAACAGAGUAAGCAGACAGCAUAACCGAAACAGAGGAGAAAAGAAGAAGCAGCAGCGUUUACCACCACAGCCAGCUGCCGCGACACCAAAGCCAUCGUAGGCCACCAGCACCGUGAACUACAACGCCUCCAUUCCAGGUAAUCCUAUUCCCUUUUGUUUUAAUUUCUGCGCUUGAAACAGGGGCUCGUUUUUGCUAUCUGCAAAAACGACCAUGAACAGUGCGAAGGUAAUAUCCAUGCACGCCUAAAAUUUUACGCGUGCAUGGUUUGUUUGGGUCACUGGCUUGGGCCAGUGACCAUGCACGGGUUGCUGGGCCCAGCCCAAAAACAAAUUCUUCAAAAAUUAUUUCAAAAAAAUAUGUGAUUUUCCGCAAAUUUUUUACUUUUUUUUAUCAAUAUUGAUUUGAAUUUUUAUACUGUAAAGAUACAAAUCCGGUAUUAAAAUACCUGGUUUUCGUCAAAACAUAUAAAAAAAAAUAUUUUGUUUUCAAGCAUAUGACCAAGUCUCUCAAAAAAAAAAAAAUCAUAUUGUAUUUUCAUAUAACAAAGAAAAUUUCAAAAAUAUGUAUUAGCGUGCAUUUUGGCUUUAAUAACCAGUUUAUUAAAGUCACGAGAACUAGACCAAUAUUUUAAAAUUUUCAAAAAACUUAUUUUGUUUUCUUUCAAUAUCUGGGGUUGCAACCUUAUACGUAAGAUGUAUUCCGGAUAUUAAAUUUUUUUGUUGACAUCAUAAUUACCCGAUAAGAUAAGGAUCUCCUUAUCAAGAAGGACUUUUCUUAAACCAUAGACGGACCAACAACUAGAAAUCACGAUAAGACCUUAGAUUUUAUCAGACAAUAAAACAAUGCAGCUUACCUUAGAUAGGGCGUAUUUGGGGUGGUAAUACCUUUUCUUUAUGCAACCAGUCCCCGUAAUUAAUUUCUGAGACCAGUAAGGGUUCCUAGUGACCAAAAUAUUAGGUGACGACUCCCAUUCCAUUUUCCCAUUGAUAAAAGACAAGAAUUCCUUGUCUCCCCACCUUUGCCACAUUAGAUAAAAUGUGAGAGUAUAUGUUUUUCGCCGCGAUACCGCACACGUGCGACACACUAUAUAAAUAUUAGAAAGAUUUUUUAUUUUAUCAAUGUGGAAUUUGAAACCCUUUAAUAUAUAUACUCUAUGUUCACAAGAAAAAAAGUUAUUUUUCAAUGUGGGAUAUAAAAACCAUUUUGAAGUAAUCUUCUAAACUUUAUUAUUUACAACAUGUAUAGCUUAUAUUCAUACAGAUUGUUUUUUUAUUUUUUCAUAUGAACUAUUAUAACUUCAAAUAUUUUUUUAAAAUUUUUUGUGGGUUGACUAAACCCACGUAACCCGGGACGAGGCUCCGUGGUCGGGUCAAUUCUCAGGUCAAGUUUGAUAACUACGAUUUCACCUCUUCAAUAAUAUUUUAAAAAUAAUUUUUAAAUGCAAUGUAAUUAAUCACAUUAUCAAAAGGAAAAUAAAUGUGUAAUCGGAAUAGUGAACUUAUAACGCAGACAAAAAUUUGUUAAAUCUAGUAAUUAUUUAAAUUGUUUAAAUAUUAUUCAAAUUGGACUACCACCACUUGUUCUAUACAAUUGGGAUGAUUUAAAAAAUUUGUAAAACACUGUUGUAUUGGCAUACGUACAUUUAUGUUCAUAGAGAUGAAUUUAGAAUUUGUUGACAGAAAAGACCAAAAUGCACAGCCUUGUUGUCGGGUGGCUAUUACAUAAAAAUAACUUCAAAAAUAAUAUAAGUUCAAGGAUGAUUUUGUAAACAUCUCAAACUUUGAGGGGCCAGUGCCACCGUAGCCGCCAUUUAUCUCUACACGUGCAAGUGUUUGUUAGGCCUUUUGGCACAUUAUAUAACAUGCAUUUUAUAGGAUGCCUUGGUAUAAUUGCUUCGAUCCUUGCCCUCUGAUUAUCAUUAGUAAACCUGAAAACCAUUGCUAUAUUGGUCUGAUAUCUAUUUUGAUUCUAGCCAAAUACAUAAUGUUUUUUUUUUCCUGUGGAUGCCCUUUUUUUUGGUAGAAUAUUACAUCUGCUGUCUCAUUAUUUCAUCAUCAAAUGGUGUUGUCAAUAUAAUGCAAUGUCAAUUUUAACUUUUCUUUCUUUUUAAUUAAUUUAAUUAAGUCCCUAAUCUUUAAAUUAUAUAGCGUCAACAAAAUUGAAUCUCGUAUCUUCAGUGAAAUCCACUAAGGCGAAUCGAAAUGCAAAAAGAACAAAAAAAAAGAGGUUUUAAUUUGGCUUCGAAGAAAGAGUUCUGUUUGACCUGUAGCGGGUGCGGUAUGAUAUAUCUCCUAAAUAAACUUUUUUUUUAAAAAAAGAAAAAAAGCGAUAUGCUUGUUUGCUUGUGUGUCUAGUUUUUGUAAUCACACUGUUAUUAGCAGCUACUCUUGAUGCUUCGAAGGAAGUGAAAAAUUUAGACUUUAUUUUGAUUUCUCUUCCUCCUAAAUAUCUCUCAAUCUUUGUUGGCUUCGAAGAAAGAGUUCUGCUUGACCUGUAGCGGGGUGCAGUGGAGUAGCCAGAAAUUUAGAAAUUUUUAAAUGAGUGGGUAAAGUAUUAAAAAAGACUUGAUAUUAUAUAUGUAUUAUGUAGAUAUGUAUCAUAUUAAUUUGAAAUAUAUAUACUAAAUCAUAUCAAAUACAAUUAAUGUAAGAAUACUUUCAAAAUGAAAAAACUAACUUGGUUAAUUGGUUUUUUUUUACGAUUUUGGUUUUUUUUUUUUUUUUAGUUUUAAUCAGUUUUUCAAUUUUUUUUUCAUCUUUAAAGUUAACAAUAACUAAUUUAGAUUAAAUGAUAACCAAAAAAAAAAUUUAAAUCUGCUAGAUAUUAUUAAUAUUAAUAUAAAAUUAGGAAUUAAAAAAAAAAAGAUUAAGGGGGCAAUUGCCCCCUCACCCUACGUGGCUCCGCCCCUGGCGGGGUGCGGUAUAAUGUACCUCCUAAAUAAACUUUUUUUUUAAAAAAAAAGAAAAAAAGCGAUUUUAAAUGGCCUAAACUGGAUGGGCAUUGCAUUUAAAUCUACCACUUUCAUCAAGUGUAGUUGGUCAAAUAUUUGUAAUCGGUCGCUGAAAGAAAGAUCCGUGAUUCGUUAGAAGUCCGAAAUAUCUUCCUAUUAAUGCACCGACGGCUUUCAAUCUUGGCAUGUUCCUAGCUAGCAUAACAUAAAGAAGGAGAAGCAAAAUCUACAGAAGUAUUAUUUGUAAUUUAUACAUAUUUUUACUGAAAUUACAUUGAUUCAAGUAUCCAUGUUAACAUCCAUGGCUUGAAUAAUACACAGAACAGAAACUACAGAAGGGUUCCACCCGAGACAUACUCGGUGUAGGCCAACGCAACCAAACCCAGCAUGGCAAAUCUACCGUUCCACAUCUCAGCAUCAGAUGUCAUGACGCCCUCUGACUUGGAUUCCGCGCUGACCCCUUUGAACAGUGGGAUCAAAGACGCGACUGAGAGCAGAAUACUUGUUCCGAGGAACCACGAGACUCCACCGUUAGAUAUCUGAUAAGAAAGGUCUUGGCCCUUGGACAGUUCCACUGCCAUUGCAGCGACAAAGCCUAUCAUGGCAAGCCUGCCAUUGAUCCUCUCUGGUGCGGGUCCGCUAAAUGCGAACAAAUCAAGGAAUUUUGUGCUGCCCUGUUAAUCACAGUCAUACGGGCGUUUACAUUAGAAGUGGAAGCAUAAAUGCAAUCACAAAGUCCAUGCUCUAUGUAAAUUGUUAAAAUUAAACGUUUCCGAAAUAAACCAUGCCGUAUAAUUAAUCCUGUACCUUUGGCUUAGGAGUAGAACUUGGCUCUGCUAACUUCUUGAUCUGGUCAUCCUGCAAAUUGAUUCAAAUGUCAACACAAUCCUAAGAACAAUCACCUAAUUAAAGUAUACACAAAGGAAGUCGAAAUAGAUUCCAAACUCACCAGCUUGGAGCACUGCACCCGUUUGCUAGCACUGCCACGUAGUCGUGGCACAAACGUCGCAGAAAACAAGUUGCUCACUCGAGACCGGUUUUUCACCAGACCACUAGGUACUGGAGUUGCAAGGACGGUCUGCAUGACUGUUGAUGUGGCCAUCAAUUAGAACAAUGUUUAUCACUCGAGCUGUGAUUUAGAAACUUAAUCAAUAUCUAAACUGUGAAAGCUAUUCUAAUGCUAGAGGGAACGUUCGCAAGGGAUAUCACUACCAGUGAGUUGAAGCUGGAGCUAUUUGCUUUGUAAUGAUAAUUAAUGUAUCUGACAGUGGUUUGGUAGGCUGUUAUAUAGCCGAUGGGGCAAGAGAGGAGCGGGCAUUUUGCUUCCACGUCAUCUAUAUCUAAUGAAAAGGCUGAUUGGAUCACGUGGCUUCGGUUGUCCUCAUAUGGUCAAGUGGGUUACGUGGCCUCCUCACAGUCACUAGUGGAUCCCCACCCCAUUUAAGAACCUGAGGCCAACGUUGUUCUAGGUUUUCCAGCUGAGCAGCGACCACGGCAUAGUAAUUGAACUGGGCUCAGCCACAUUUUACCGCAUUAAUUUGACACGUUCCAAAUAACACAGUUAAAUGGAAUGUAUAAUUUGUCGACAAGUUUCUUCUCUGAGAUCUUUUUUAGUAGGUGGUUGAUGAUAGUUUAUGUAUUUUCAUCUCCUACUUGUUAUCCUUUUUCCUUUGUUCACUAAGUUAAUUUUUUCUUUAUCCGCUGAGCUAAUUUCAUUCCUUGGGAAUAUUUUUAUCGUUGUUUUUUUUUUCUCAUUUGCUUUUUAAUUUUUCACCAAAACAUUUAAAAUCAUCUUCUUUACAUCUUCAAGGUUUUUUUCAAUAUAUUGAAAAGCCUUUUUUUUCUUCUCAGUUACGUGUUGAUUUCUCACCGAAACAUUCAAAAGCAUCUUCUUUGCAUCUUCUAGUAUUUGCUGGCAUGACUCAACAUCCUUUCGAAUGCAAGCCAAAUGAUAUUUGAAAUGGUAAAUGUCUCAACUGAAAAUUUUCUAACAAUACUUGCACUGAACUUUUCUUGAAUUCUUAUCAAUAUCUAUACUAUGUUACCAUCUCACGUCAAGUUUAUUGUCACUAGUAGUUUUUUUUAGAUGUCAUGUAUCUUGCAAUUCAAGAAUCAAUUCAAAUCAACUCUAUAAUUAAAAUCGCAAACAUUUACUUCACUUUGCAACUUAAUAAGAAACUCGAUAAAAAUCAUGUGUAACCCUCAACUAUUUUAUUAUUUUCACUUUGAUUCCUCUGUUUUUUGGAUAGAUUAACUCAUUUACUUCAUCAUUUACAAGAAACGAGUCCCUUUAAAUUUUAGCAGGCUAUUUAACAUUAAUUACUCUAUUGUCUAAUGCCAGUUUACAACUUAUAUUCUAUAGAUUUGCCAGCUAAAACAGAGAAAUGCCAAAUUUUUCUUCACAUCUUUCUCCAAUUAUUUGAAUUGAUUAUAGAUUUGUGUCCCAUUGAAUCUUCAAAGAGAAAAAAAAAUAGAGAACACAAAAGAAUGCAUCUCAUGUUUAAUCAAAACACAAAACUCAACAGAGCAAGAACAAAGAGAGAAGUGACAUUAACAUUUAAAACACUACUAGAAAAUUGAUAAAUACAAACGGAAAUACCGAGAGAAUAUUUCCGUCGGUAAAUUUCUGAGAGAUUUUACCGACGGAAAUAUUCCCUCGGUAUAUACCGAGGGAAUUACUGUGGGAAACAAAAUUAAAACAAAGCAAAAAAAAAUGAUAACGUGUCAUUUUUACCAACGGAAAUAAAUCCGUCGGUAAAUCUGGUGGUAAACUGUGAACAUUGUUCAUCAUGUCAAUUACAAAGGGAAUCACCGACGGAAAUUUUUUUCGGUAUUUUCCAGAGAGCUCCAGAACUGUUCACUUUCCAAUUGCACUGUUAAUUGUUGUUCUUUACAGACAAAAUCACCGACGGAUUGAAAAGUCGUCGGUGUUAUUUGGUGGUUUUCUGAAAAAAAAUCAAUUAAUUUAAAUUUUUCAUUUAAAUAUUACAGAUGGAAUCACCGACGGAUUGAAAAAUCGUCGGUAAUUGUUGGCGGUUUCUGAAAACUUUUUACAAAAUUGAAAAUUUAAAUUAAAUAUUACCGAUAGAAUUACCGACGGAAUAAUUAAAAAAUAUUAAUAUUCAAUUAUCCGUCGGUAGAUCCGUCGCUAACGCGCCCCAAUAAAAAGUCUGGAUCCCCUUAUUUCACAAGAGACAGGCUCAUUUUUUAUAAUUUUUCUUCUACUUCUUCUUCUUCUUCUACUACUACUACUACUACUACUUCUUCUUCUUCUUGUUCACUAUAUGUAAAAAAUAUCAAUAUCUAUUUCAUUCUUUUAUUUUCUCUUCUCAUCUUCUUCUCCUUAGCUUCACUUGCAACUACAUUAAGGUAAUAUUUUUCUUUUUUCUUCUUUUUUCAUGAUUGUUUUCACUAUAUUUGUUUUUUAUUCUAUUUUUAAUUGUUUUUGUUCUUAAUAAUUGUAUAAAUUUUGUUGUGAGAUUUUUUUUCAUAUGAGACUAAUUUUUAGUUGAUUUAUUUAUAGGGAUUUUUAAAUUUUUAGCAAUUGCAACUUCAUUUUUUUCAUAUGAAUUUUUUUAGUUGAAUUUAUUUUUUUCAUUUUAUUUAUUUGUUGCAAAUUUGUUUGAGUUGAUUUUCUUCUUUUUUUUCCAAGCAUUUUGAGUAUAUAAUAUACAAUGUUGAUUUAUGUUAAUUUAAUUAUUUUAUAAUUUCAUAAAAUGAAUUUUUUUAAAAUAUUUUUAUAUAAUUACCGACGGAAUUACCGAGCUUGAAUUUGUGUCCAAUGAUAUUGAGGCUCUUAUUGGAUUGCCAAUUUGUUAUGGUAUGAUAGAUCAUUCAGAAUCAAAAUUGUCAAUUUGUUAACCAUCUAGGUGGUGGCCCAGUGGUAACAGUUUGGGACUAAGAGGUUUGCUCUCUUUGUGGUCUCAGGUUCAAGCCCUGUAGUUGCUCAUAUGAUGGCCACUGGAGGCUUACAUGGUCGUUAACUUCAGGGCCCGUGGGAUUAGUCGAAGUGUGUGCAAGCAGACCCAGACACCCACGUUAAACUAAAAAAAAAAAAAUUGUCUUUUCAAAAUUAAAAAUUUAGCCAGAUAAGGAGAUUUUUUUUGGCAUGUUUGUUUUCAAAUUUCAGGCACCAUUUGGUUGUUAGGUUCUUAUUGAUUGUGAUUAAAGUGAUUGGUUUUGAUUUAGAAAUAAUUUUAGCUUAUGUUGUGCAUGGAAGAAAAACAAUAAUGAAGCAUUAAAGUGAAUAAAACCUAAAUUUCCAAAAUGUUUGUGGUUUGUUCGGGGCUCUAAGAUUUGCAUUGUGAAUUUUAUAGAAUGGAAGUGCUUGAUAAUAAUUUGGCAAAAUGAAAAUGAACCGAUUAGAUUUUGUAGGAAAGUUUAUGCAAUCUCCUCAAAUCUUUCUUAUAAUGGCUGUUUUUACUUAUUUUGGGCCCACAUGCUGAAGAUGAUGUAUACUGUUUUUUGAAUCGAGUGCAGGUGCUAAAGAUGCACCGACGGCUUUCAAUCUUGGCAUGUUCCUAGCUAGGAUAACAUAAAGAAGGAGAAGUAAAACCUACAGAAGUAUUAUUUGUAAUUUAUAUAAAUGAUUGAAAAUUGAUCUUUUACAUAUUUCGCUACUGAAAUUACAUUGAUUCAAGUAUCCAUGUUAACAUCUAUGGCUUGAAAAAUACACAAGACAGAAACUAUAGAAGGGUUCCACCCGAGACAUACUCGGUGCAGGCCAGCGCAACCAAACCCAACAUGGCAAAUCUACCGUUCCACAUCUCAGCAUCAGAUGUCAUGACGCCCUCUGACUUGGAUUCCGCGCUGACCCCUUUGAAUAGUGGGAUCAAAGACGCGACAGAGAGCAGAAUACUUGUUCCGACGAACCACGAGACUCCACCGUUAGAUAUCUGAGAAAAAAGGUCUUGGCCCUUGGACAGUUCCACUGCCAUUGCAGCGACAAAGCCUAUCAUGGCAAGCCUGCCAUUGAUCCUCUCUGGUGCGGGUCCGCUAAAUGCCAACACAUCAGCGAAUUUUGUGCUGACCUGUUAAUCGUCAUCAUGCGUGCGUUUACAUUAGAAGUGUAAGCAUAAUUGAAAUCAAAAUGUCCAUGCUCUACUUAAAUUGUUAAAAUUAAACAUUUCCGAAAUAACUCUACCAGAUAAUUAAUCCUGUACCUUUGGCUUAGGAGGAGGACUUGGCUCUGCUGACAUAUUCUGCUCAUCCUGCAAAUUGAACCAAAUGUUAACACAAUCCUAAGAACCAUCACCUAAACUAUAUACAAAGGAAGUCGAGAUGGAAUCCAAAUUACUCACCAGCUCGGCCUUGCACUGCAACCGUUUGCCAGCACUGCCACGUAGUCGUGGCACAUACGUAGCAGAAAACAAGUUGCUCACUCGAGACCGGUUUUUCACCAGACUACUGGCCACUGGAGAUGCAAGGACGGUCUGCAUGACUGUUGAUGUGGCCAUCACUUAGAACAAUGUUUAUCACUCGAUCUGUGAUUAAGAAACUUAAUCAAUAUCUAAACUGUGAAAGCUAUUCGAAUGCUAGAGGCAGCGUUCAGUAAGAAAUAUCACUACCAGUGAGUUGAAGCUGGAGCUUUUUGCUUUGUAAUGAUGAAUAUUUAAUGAAUCUGACGGUGGUUUGGUAGGCUGUUAUAUAGCCGAUGGGGCAAGAGAGGAGCGGGCAUUUUGCUUCCACGUCAUCUAUAUCUAAUGAAAAGGCUGAUUGAAUCACGUGGCUUCGGUUGUCUUCACACGGUCAAGAGUGGGUUACGUGGCCUCCUCACAGUCACUAGUGGAUCCCCACCCAAUUUAAGAAUCUGAGGCCAAUGUUGUUCUGGGACCACGGCAUAGCAAUCGAACUGGACUCAGCCACGAUUUUACCGCAUUAAUUUGACACGUUCAAUCACAUAACCUGACAAACCAAUAUUAAUAGUAAUAUAAAAAACUUAUGAUGUAACAAAACAUUUAUGAUGCUUAUGAUUUUUUCUUCUUUUUAUAUUUGUUUUUUAUGUUAUAAAUACUCCAUAAUUAAAAUUUUAAGCAAAAGUAAGUGUGUGAUUUAUAGAACAAUACAAAUAUUUUAUGUAAAAGUAUUUUUUAAAGAGAAAAUUAUCUUGAGUAUCGUAUAGUUUAUUUAAUUUUAUAUUUUGUUUUUAUUAUUUUAAAAAUUACUGAAAUUAUUCUUGAUCAACCGAAAAUUUUAAAUCGAUUGAAAUGAUCAAAUUAACCUCUACCUGUUGUAAUUCCUUAAAAUUUUGUUGCUUGUUGGGUGCUAUUAUAACUAUGGUAAAAACAUAUUGUUGAUCAAGACAUGGUCACAAAAAAGAUAAGGAAAAUUUUUCUUGGGAGAGAAACAUUGAGAUGCUCGUCAUGAAAGACUUUCAAAGGUAGAUCACAAAGUUGACUUAUAGGUUAAAGGAUAAGGGUUUAUAAAACCAAAAUUAGAAGAGUGAUCAUGGAUUCCUAGCCAAUACUGAAAACCAAAGGCAUGAUCAUAUAUAAAAUAUAACCUCUUGAUUAGGAAGAGAUUAAAUUUAGGAAUUUUUUGUUUCACAUUAAAAUCCCUAAAUUCACAAGAACUUCACAAGUAAAGGAUUUCAUAGAACAGAUAAAUAGGGUAAAAUGAAUUUUUUAGUAUAAUGAGGUUCUCAAAUAGAUGUGAGGGAAGUUGAUGGUGAUUAGAUUAAAAGGUAGAGUUUCUGUUUAAUGAGAAUAGUUAAAAGAAAUCGAGAGAGGCAUGAAAAGCUGAGAAUAGUAAUUUAGAAAAGAUGAAGAAGAAACUAAAAGAACACUUCCUUCCAUUUGGCUAUGCCCAAACCCUGUACAAAAGGUUUCAUAUGUUAAAACAAAUAGACAUCAAGUCAUAGUUUUGGUUUAGUUUUCAGGAUUUGUUGUUAUAGUUGUGGUGAGUUAAGGCAUCAAGCUAAUGAGAAUGCAUUAAAAAACCAGAAAGUUAUAUAGAAAAAAAUAUGUUGAUAGAGGAACCUGCAAAUAAUAUGGCUGAUCUUAUUUAAAAUGACUCUAACAACAGUGAAUAGACUUUAAAUGGGGAUAGCAGUACUACACUAGUUGUCUGAAAAAUCAUGUUGUCACCCGAUGGUGAUUAAUGAUAGAAUUGGUUGUGUUCUAAAAUCUUCCAAAUAACGUGUAUUGUUAACAACAAGAUAUGCAAUCUAAUCAUCUUCGAUAGUAGUUAUGAGAAUAUAGUGUUAGUUGAAGUGGUAGAAAAAUUACAGCUUAACAUAGAAAAACUCUUCAUCCCUUCAAACUAAAAUAGCUGAAUGAAACAACAAGGUAAUAACGGACAAGGGCUAUUUUAUUUUGUUUUUCAUAAGCAAGAUUAUAUAUUUUAAUAAUAUUUGGCAUGAUGUGGUGGCUAUAGAUGUGUAUCAUAUACUUUUGGACAGACCAUAACAAUAUGAAAGAAAUGUCGUGCAUGAUGGAAGCUGUAAUACAAAUACCCUUACUAUAACAAGGAAAAUAUGGUAAUGACUCCUAGAAAGAGGAGGCAAUUGUUGAAGAUAAGGGUAAAAAUAAGUUGUUUUUAUAUAGAUUUACGGAGAACAAGAAUAAAAAAAAAAGAAUGUGAAGGAGGUGAAGAGGGUAAAGGUCUAUUGUGGAAUAAGUUAAUUAAAAUGAGUAGUGGUUUUGUCAAGAUCAAGGGUGGUAUUUUGAAAAGUUAAUUAUUUUUUUCCCUACUUUAUCUAAGUUGAUUACAUGACAAAAGUCUAAAAAUGGUUGAUGACAGCGACAUGGUUAUGACCAAAACUUGAGGAUGAGUUUUUCCUAACCCAAAUGAUAUAGGUAUGUUUGCAAAGAUUAGGAGUUCUAAGCAGUUAUAUAAAGAUUUUCCUAAAACAAAUUAUGUGGAUGACCUAAUAUAUAUUUUCAUGAAUUGAUGGGACAGGUCUCGGUCAAAGAAAAGGUUUGGCCACGCCAAACUGAGAUAAUAGCUUAAAAUGAUGAUUAUAGAACAUUUUACCGUUGUAUUGGAUUUAAAUUUUAUAGGAGAUUUUUCAUGCUAUUUUUCUAUAAAAGCUACUACAUUACUUACUAGACCAUAGAACAUCCCAAUAUUAGGACUUAAAGUUAUUGUUUGGACUACUUUUUUUUAUUUUUGCUAGAUAUUUUUGGAUUUUGUGUUAAUUUCCUUUACUUGUUAGGAUUUUCAUUUUAAUUUUAAUUUUAAUUUUCUAGUUUAGGUCAUUUUUUUAACCUAUAAAAAAGCAUUGUAAAUCUCUUUAUAAGGCAUACUUGGUCAAAUUAUUAUUUCAUAAAUAAAAUAAGUUUCAACUCUAAUUCAGUCUCUCUUUAUGUGUUGUUAUUAUUUUAGUGUGCUUUUAUCUACAUUAAUAGGCUAGAUAUUUUACUUGCUUGUUGUUUUGGCUACUUCAGUGCACAUCUAUCUUUAUUAAAAUCCAUUAAGGUGAGUAAAAAAUGCAGAAAAAAAUAAAAGAAAAAUUAUCCUGAUUAUUCUAUAAUUUACUCAAUUUUACACAUUGUCUCUAUAGUUUUGAAAAUUUCAGAAAGUAUUUUGAAUUUAUAUGUUCAUAACACUUUACACGAUGCUAAAAAAAUCAACAAAAAAGGUUUAACUAUUUACAAGAUUGGUUUUGUAUUUUUUUUAAUGACUAAACAACGUUAGUAUAUCAAAAUAAUAAAAAUACCCUUAAAUAAAAAAUGGCAAUCCAAUAAAUAUAGCAUAUAUUCAGAGCUUGAAAUUUUGUGAAGCAUUUUAACAAACACAUCGUAUGUUACUUCAACUUUUCAAAUCCUCAUCCUCAAAUCAUAAAGUCCAAAACCUUGUUCUUCAUUUUCUCCUUCUAGAAUCUAGCCAACUAAACCUAACAAAUCUCCUCUAUUAAAGCACCAAUUUUGCCACCACUCAAACCUAACAUAAGUCUUUCUACUGUUGUUUUCUAAAAGCUCAUUGACUUUCAAAGCACAAGAACACCACUAAAUUUUUAGGCUAAAAUAAUAAUGUCAAAGCUCCAACCAACUUUUAUUAUCUAGAUAUAAUGAAGUUUUUUUGGCAAGAAGAAGAGAUGCAUAUUUGCACAACCAAGCUAGGAAUGCUUUAUUGUCUACUAGAUGUAGAUCUACACCAUGUAGAGCUUCUUCUUUAGGUGGUAGAUUUUAGGGGUCACCUUCGAAGAGCAAAGAAAUUGAGAGAAAAACAUAAAUACUCCGAAAGAAAACAAAGGAAAUGGAGAAAAUAAGUUUGGACCCAAAAACUAAAGUAAAGAUUAUGCUUUGGAUGUAAACUAAUGCAGAUCUUACUAAUUUUUCUUUUACCCUUUCUCUAUUUAUUUUUAUUCUAUAUCUUUAAGAUCUUAAAAACAAGCUUUCAUAUUAGUCUAUAUUCACGAACAAAUGAUUUUUCUUUCGGAACAAUCUUAAAUUUUGUCUUUAAAACUCCAUACAACACCUGAUCAAGGCACGCUAAUCUCUAUAAAAUCCACAAUAAAAAAAACCCUAGUAAUAAUGCCAACAUUGGCACACCAAUCUCUAUAAAAUCCACACUCAAAUCUCUUAAUAAAAAAAACCCUGAUAAUAAUGCCAUCAAUGAAACCCAACUUUUCAAUUCAAUCAAAGACCUCCCUUUAGCAUAUGCAUUAUUCUUUUCCUUUCAAAUAUCCUUCACACAUGGCUUUCUUGAAUCCCACAGAACCCCGCAAUUGAAAACAACUUUACCCUACUUAGCCUCUGAUGAAUGAUGAAAUUUUAUCAGAUUUAUAUAAAAAUUUUAUCAGAUCUAUAUAAAUCUAAAGGGCAUGAAACCAUAAUUCAUUAAUCUUGUGUUUUCUUUUAUGGUGUUGGAUUUGGUUAGACAAGAAAAUUUGUUGACCAGCGAGUAGUUCUCUAUGCUCCCAGUUCAAUCGGACUUCUGUUCUAUGUGCAUUUCACUCGUUUUUGACUGAUAGUAAAUUUUUUAUCAUGUAUAUAUCAUUUGAGAUAUACCGGUUGGAAAUCUGAGUAGAAGUGAAUUUUUGGUAUUCCAGUUUGUAAAUAUAUUUUGUAACUGGCAAAGGAAUGGCGAUUUUUAAAUGGCCUAAACUGGAUGGGUAUCGGGUUUCUGUCUACCAUUUUCAUUAAGUGUAGUUGGGCAAACAUUUGUAAUCGGUUGCUGCAAGAAAGAUGCGUGAAUGGUUACAAGUCCGAAAUAUUAUUAGUUUGAGAGUUUAGCUACUCCAACUUCACUAUAGAUGGCAUAACAUAAAGAAGGAGAAGAGAAAUCUACAGAAGCGUUAUUUGUAAGUUAUAUAGAUGAUUGAAAAUUGAUCUUAUAUAUUUUGCUACUGAAAUUACUUUGAUUCAAGUAUCCAUGUUAACAUAUAAGCUUGAAUAAUACACAAAACAGAAACUACAGAAGCGUUCUACCCGAGACAAACUCGGUGAAGGCCAACGCAACCAAACCCAACAUGGCAAAUCUACCGUUCCACAUCUCAGCAUCAGAUGUCAUUACGCCAUCUGACUUGGAUUCCGCGCUGACCCCUUUGAAUAGUGGGACCAAAGACGCGACAGAGAGCAGAAUACUUGUUCCGACGAACCACGAGACUCCACCGUUAGAUAUCUGAGAAAAAAGGUCUUGGCCCUUGGACAGUUCCACUGCCAUUGCAGCGACAAAGCCUAUCAUGGCAAGCCUGCCAUUGAUCCUCUCUGGUGCGGGUCCGCUAAAUGCCAACACAUCAGCGAAUUUUGUGCUGACCUGUUAAUCAUCAUCAUGCAUGCGUUUAUAUUAGAAGUGUAAGCAUAAAUGCAAUCAAAAAGUCCAUGCUCUACUUAAAUUGUUAAAAUUAAACAUUUCCGAAAUAACUCAUGCCAGAUAAUUAAUCCUGUACCUUUGGCUUAGGAGGAGGACUUGGCUCUGCUGACAUUUUCUGCUCAUCCUGCAAAUUGAACCAAAUGUUAACACAAUCCUAAGAACCAUCACCUAAACUAUAUACAAAGGAAGUCGCGAUGGAAUCCAAAUUACUCA
This 19346-nucleotide long non-coding RNA is filed under the name Populus trichocarpa (black cottonwood). RNAcentral's name for it is "long non-coding RNA (PTRI_LNC002176)". The record is from RNAcentral. Lineage: Eukaryota; Viridiplantae; Streptophyta; Magnoliopsida; Malpighiales; Salicaceae.